UCCACUGGAUCACUGAUGGAGAGCCGGCGUUCCAUGUCCCGACUCAAGGACGAGGAGGAGGCUGUCGCGGUCGCCGACGAGGGUGGAUGAUCGGCCUGCCCCUUCCACUCCUCCUGUGGCGGGGGUGGUGGAUAGUAAGCGGCGUCCGGCGGAGGAUCGUAGUAAUCUCGCCGAGGAGGGGGCGGAUCGUUCCCUUCUCCGUAGCCACCACGGCGUCCUCCUCCACCGCCCCGUCCUCCUCGCCGGCCGGAGGAUGGAGCAUCGGGUUGCAGCUCCCGGUAGAAAUCGCCUCCUCCCCGGCGGCCGCCGCCACGCCUCGACAUCCGGAGAUCGAUCUCGACAGAGAAGGAAACGUAAACGUACAGAGAACAGAAGAGAAAACGUCAGGGAUGCGAAGGGGCGAGUAGAGAAGAAGAAGAAGAAAGAACAGGUGUGUGGCGUUUAUACAGAGCAGAGUGGGGAGAGCGGAGCGGAGCCGGGCGAGAGGGUGAGAGAGAGGGCGUUUUAAAA
This 510-nucleotide long non-coding RNA is filed under the name Elaeis guineensis (African oil palm). RNAcentral describes it as "long non-coding RNA (EGUI_LNC013880)". Lineage: Eukaryota; Viridiplantae; Streptophyta; Magnoliopsida; Arecales; Arecaceae. The record is from RNAcentral.